Long non-coding RNA from Myotis brandtii (Brandt's bat), 2634 nucleotides. RefSeq lists it as uncharacterized. The record is from RefSeq and is a predicted model, not a curated record. NCBI's taxonomy places the organism in Eukaryota, Metazoa, Chordata, Mammalia, Chiroptera, Vespertilionidae. The transcript has 5 exons.
UGACCUCCUGGUUCAUAAGUUGACGCUCAGCCACUGAGCCACACCCACUGGGCUGUAAGUGGGUUUUUCAGGUCACAGCCAAGGACAGAGGUCUCCUUGUUUCUGUGGCUCUGAGAAGCUGGUGCACCUUCCCUUGGCCAGCAGGACGUCUUCAAGGACAAGCACGGGUGUCGGCCAGUCUCCCCGUCUACUCAGACCCAGGGCUCCGCACAGGAAAGAGACUGAUGGCCGCUUGUCACCUUCCAAGGCAGUAACUCCUGAUGUCUUCUGCUCCGGAGGAGAGGCAGGCAGGUGAUUGAGAAGACAGCCUUUAUCUCCACUCCACGUGCUCUGCAAGGAGUGGAUUCCACGCAGUUGGGCCUCCUCUGAGAUUUCCUGCUGGUUCUGGAAUGACCUUGGGCGUCGAGGCCGACCUUCAGUGCUUUGCCCACAGGACGGAGUGGGGGCUCGGACCCCGGCCCUGCACACACUGAGCAAUACAGUGUCUGACUCGCAGAUGCCACCAAAAGGGCACCAGCCGCAGAGAAGUGCACAAAGUGAGAAAUGAAAGCGUCUCUUCCGCGCUGCCCGCCCUCGCCGAGAUGCGGUCGCUGCCUCCCCAUCAGAAAAUCACCCCAAUUACCAUCACAGGGCCGCUCGCCUUGAGUAUUGUGCCGGGGGCUUGGCGUGCCGCCGACUGCUUGACAAGCGUCUCCCAUCAUUCUCGCAAUGAGCCAUGGCGCACGGGCUAGGAUGCCCCGGUUUGCAGAGGAAGAAACCAAUGGUCAGAGUGGCUCAGGUCACACCCUGGAGAGCAGCAGAGCCUGGACGGCCGCCCAGGGCUGGGUGACUGCAGCUGAGGUGCGCUCUGGGCUCCCCACCCAGGAGGCAAGGACUGGCACAGGAAGAGAAAGGUCAUCUCGGGUCUCCGGGCUCGGGCCUGCCUCCAGCCAGUGCCUGGGCGUCGCCAGAGCCGCUGCACAGAGGGCAAGGCCUGGAGGACUGGAAACCCUAUGCACAGAUGGGAAGACUGAGGCUCCGAGCCAGGCCUGUGCCCUCCUGCCGCACCUCACGUUCACCUCAUCACAUCACACCCCUUUCUCCCCCGGCACCCGCGCCCUCCCUGUGCUGAAGGGCCCCUGCCUACCCGACCCCAGAGCCUGGCCUGAGGCUCUGGAACCCCUUCCAUCCGCUAGUUGCCCGGACGCCUCGAAGGCUUCGAGCUUACGGCUACUUAGGAAAGGUUCACACCAAAUAGCUGAAGCUCACGUUUCCCUCUGGAAUGGGAAGUCGGCCCCCGGCCUGGAUUAAGGGCCGCUUUCGGGAAUUAAAGGGCUUGGGCGUGGAAACAGGUUGGCGGAGGAUCGUGAGUGUCCGUCUAGAUAGGCCUCAUGGGCGAUCUCAGUUACGCCCUCCUCUAAGUUUGACUGUGUUCCCGUUUCCCUUAUAACUCAGUCAGUGGUGGAGCAGCCGUAGCAUUUGGUGUCCCCCCCAUCCCCAUGCCCUCCAGACCCCCCUCUAAUCUCAGGCGGCCCAGGAUGUUCCUAAACAGCCCAACGUCCUGCUCCUGGGCAUCUCGUCCUCACUGCAGACCCGGGUGCUGCACAGAAUGGACGCUGAGAGAGGGGCUGCGGGAGAGUGGCCGGGCAGCUCCCUCGGAGAGGCCCCCGUGCCCUGGAAACAGCUAUUGUCCCCGCCCUGCCUGAGGUUGGCUCUUCAGGGGAAGUCCACCACUGCUCUUCCACACGCAGGAUGACCACCUGGGACCAGGGAACAUGCCAGAAAAGCAGCCCAGGGCUCGGUCCUGCCCCGAGAUUUCCGUUAUCCUGGAGGCCAGGCUGGAGAGAGAGGCCAGAGGGCUCCUCUCAGCUGUCAGGGCCCCGCUGGGGCCUGAAACUGAUGUCCACUUAAGUGGCCUCCCGCCUUGGAGAGAAAAAAUGUGACCCCACGAAGCAAACCUGGUCUCUAAAACCGGCCCCAUCCUCUCAAACACACCACGGGUAACAGCGAAGCACCCCCCACCCCUCUACCCAAAGCCGAGGCGCGUCUGAAGACCCCAGAGACCAGUUCCGACCCAGCCACACGGCUCUGGGCAGAUAACUCAGGCGGCUCCAGGGCGCCCAGUUCCUUCCCUGAGCGUCCGCCACGUGGGCUCGCAGGGCUGGAGCCUGGGGCCCAGCCGUGGCCUCUGCUGAUCCCGACAGCAUGCUUGCUUUGUCAAAGAGGCGCCUGAUGGAAUUCCCUCUGCUUUUGAUUGAUUGGUUGGUUGAUUUUAAAGAGAGAGAGGAAGGAAGAGAGAGAGAAAUCAAUUGGUUGUUCCAAUUAUUUAUGCAUUCACUGGUUGCGGGAAUCAGACCCACAACCUCAGCGUACCAGGACGACUCUCUAACCCCUGAGCUACCCAGCCAGGGCUCCUCUGCUUUCUCAGCAACCUCGGGGGGCAGGGGAGGAAGAGGAUCCAAGAGCCACGAGCCCAAUCUGAGGCAACACGCAAGCCCUCUAGGAGGUCACGUGGCCAAGGAGGACUCAGAGGUCCCUUCCGGACAUGCCUAAAGCCCCCCUCUGCCCCUGGUGAGGACCUGACCCCUCACCCCAGACCAGCAAGCUCCACACCCAAGCAGCCCCCCGAAGCUUGCUCCUGAACAGUACUCACAU